Molecule: microRNA precursor, 107 nt
Filed under: Canis lupus familiaris (dog)
Lineage: Eukaryota; Metazoa; Chordata; Mammalia; Carnivora; Canidae
Also listed under: 1 other name
Description: mir-8834 microRNA precursor family
Rfam family: mir-8834 microRNA precursor family
Source: Rfam by way of RNAcentral
AGGAGGAACAACCACAGUGGCUGCGGCCAGCUCUGGAGCCCUGUAUUCAGCUUCUGCAGUAACUAUGGAGCUGUCGGUCUGCAGGAGCCUGGAUACUCCUGGGGGCG